CCUACGGGGGGCUGCAGUGAGGAAUAUUGGUCAAUGGACGAGAGUCUGAACCAGCCAAGUAGCGUGAAGGAUGACUGUCCUAUGGGUUGUAAACUUCUUUUAUAAAGGAAUAAAACGAGGCACGUGUGCCUUUUUGCAUGUACUUUAUGAAUAAGGAUCGGCUAACUCCGUGCCAGCAGCCGCGGUAAUACGGAGGAUCCGAGCGUUAUCCGGAUUUAUUGGGUUUAAAGGGAGCGUAGAUGGGUUGUUAAGUCAGUUGUGAAAGUUUGCGGCUCAACCGUAAAAUUGCAAUUGAUACUGGCAGUCUUGAGUACAGUUGAGGUAGGCGGAAUUCGUGGUGUAGCGGUGAAAUGCUUAGAUAUCACGAAGAACCCCGAUUGCGAAGGCAGCUUACUAGACUGUGACUGACAUUGAUGCUCGAAAGUGUGGGUAUCGAACAGGAUUAGAUACCCGUGUAGUG
This 460-nucleotide ribosomal RNA is filed under the name uncultured bacterium. RNAcentral's name for it is "partial 16S ribosomal RNA". It matches the Rfam family "Bacterial small subunit ribosomal RNA", at positions 338 to 795 of the family's 1533-position model. The record is from RNAcentral.